UAAGCAGGCAGAGAUGGUCACUCCGUCACAUUUUGUGACGGGGAGGAAAGUCCGGGCUCCCCAGGGCAGCGUGCUGGAUAAUCUCCAGGCUUAAGGGACUAUAUUUCCUUAAGACGGAAAGUGCCACAGAAAAUAGACCGCCUGCCACAAAACUUGGCGAGGUAAGGGUGAAAAGGUGGUGUAAGGGACCACCGCUCUUGUGGUGACACAAGAGGCAGGGUAAACCCCACGCGGAGCAAGACCAAAUAAGAGAGAAGUAAUGUGCCCGUUACGCUCUUACUCUCGGGUAGGUCGCUAGAACCCGGCGGUAACGGCGGGUCAAGAGAAAUGACCAUCAAUCACAACCAUAAUCAGUGAGGCACAGAACCCGGCUUAUCUGCCUGCUUUAUAA
RNAcentral lists this RNase P RNA (391 nucleotides) under Candidatus Omnitrophota bacterium. Its description in RNAcentral is "RNase P RNA component class A". It matches the Rfam family "Bacterial RNase P class A". Rfam says of the family: Ribonuclease P (RNase P) is a ubiquitous endoribonuclease, found in archaea, bacteria and eukarya as well as chloroplasts and mitochondria. Lineage: Bacteria; Pseudomonadati; Candidatus Omnitrophota. The record is from RNAcentral.